AGCAGCCGCGGUAAUUCCAGCUCCAAUAGCGUAUAUUAAAGUUGUUGCAGUUAAAAAGCUCGUAGUUGAAUUUCGGGGUUAGCAGGUCGGUCGUGCCAUCGGUAUGAACUGGUCUCGCUGAUCCCUCCCUCUUGACGAACUGUGAUGCCAUUAAUUUGGUGUCGCAGGGAAUCAGGACUGUUACUUUGAAAAAUUAGAGUGUUUAAAGCAGGCUCACGCUUGAAUACAUUAGCAUGGAAUAAUGAAAUAGGACGUUUGAUCCUAUUUUGUUGGCUUCUAGGAUUGACGUAAUGAUUAAUAGGGAUAGUUGGGGGCAUUAGUAUUCAAUUGUCAGAGGUGAAAUUCUUGGAUUUAUUGAAGACUAACUACUGCGAAAGCAUUUGCCAAGGAUGUUUUCAUUAAUCAAGAACGAAAGUUAGGGGAUCGAAGACGAUCAGAUACCGUCGUAGUCUUAACCAUAAACUAUGCCGACUAGGGAUCGG
This 482-nucleotide small RNA is filed under the name uncultured Glomus. RNAcentral describes it as "SSU rRNA". It matches the Rfam family "Eukaryotic small subunit ribosomal RNA", at positions 569 to 1056 of the family's 1831-position model. Lineage: Eukaryota; Fungi; Glomeromycota; Glomeromycetes; Glomerales; Glomeraceae. The record is from RNAcentral.